RNAcentral lists this long non-coding RNA (292 nucleotides) under Setaria viridis. RNAcentral describes it as "long non-coding RNA (SVIR_LNC002264)". Lineage: Eukaryota; Viridiplantae; Streptophyta; Magnoliopsida; Poales; Poaceae. The record is from RNAcentral.
GAGGGACUACUUAUCAUUAUUCAAAUUUCGAACAACACACGAAACCUGUUGUUCUAACUUUAAGUGAAAAAUGGAGGUCUCUUUAUUAGUCAAGAUCAAACGAUGCAAAACUUUGGGGGUGUUUGGCUCUAGGGGAGCUAAACUUUAGCCCUGUCACAUCGUCGGAUGUUUACAUACUAAUUAGGAGUAUUAACAUAGUCUAAUUACAAAACUAAUUACACAGAUGGUGGUUAAUUCGUAAGACGAAUCUAUUAAGCCUAAUUAGUCCAUGAUUUGACAAUGUGGUGCUACA